UCGGAAUUACUGGGCGUAAAGCGCACGCAGGCGGUCUGUCAAGUCGGAUGUGAAAUCCCCGGGCUCAACCUGGGAACUGCAUCCGAAACUGGCAGGCUUGAGUCUUGUAGAGGGGGGUAGAAUUCCAGGUGUAGCGGUGAAAUGCGUAGAGAUCUGGAGGAAUACCGGUGGCGAAGGCGGCCCCCUGGACAAAGACUGACGCUCAGGUGCGAAAGCGUGGGGAGCAAACAGGAUUAGAUACCCUGGUAGUCCACGCCGUAAACGAUGUCGACUUGGAGGUUGUGCCCUUGAGGCGUGGCUUCCGGAGCUAACGCGUUAAGUCGACCGCCUGGGGAGUACGGCCGCAAGGUUAAAACUCAAAUGAAUUGACGGGGGCCCGCACAAGCGGUGGAGCAUGUGGUUUAAUUCGAUGCAACGCGAAGAACCUUACCUGGUCUUGACAUCCAAGAGAUGGGUGCCUUCGGGAACGUGAGACAGGUGCUGCAUGGCUGUCGUCAGCUCGUGUUGUGAAAUGUUGGGUUAAGUCCCGC
RNAcentral lists this ribosomal RNA (530 nucleotides) under Salmonella sp. Its description in RNAcentral is "bacterial SSU rRNA". It matches the Rfam family "Bacterial small subunit ribosomal RNA", at positions 545 to 1090 of the family's 1533-position model. Lineage: Bacteria; Pseudomonadati; Pseudomonadota; Gammaproteobacteria; Enterobacterales; Enterobacteriaceae. The record is from RNAcentral.